AUACGGAGGAUCCGAGCGUUAUCCGGAUUUAUUGGGUUUAAAGGGUGCGCAGGCGGCCAUUUAAGUCAGCGGUUAAAUCGUGGGGCUCAACCCCAUUCUGCCGUUGAUACUGGGUGGCUUGAUUGCGGUCGAGGUUGGCGGAAUUCGUUGUGUAGCGGUGAAAUGCAUAGAUAUGACGAAGAACACCGAUUGCGUAGGCAGCUGACCAGACCGCAAAUGACGCUCAUGCACGAAAGUGCGGGGAUCGAACAAGAUUAGAUACCCUGGUAGUCCGCACAGUAAACGAUGAAUACUUGUUUUCGGCGAUAUAAUGUCGGAGGCAAAGCGAAAGCGAUAAGUAUUCCACCUGGGGAGUACGCCGGCAACGGUGAAACUCAAAGGAAUUGACGGGG
Molecule: ribosomal RNA, 392 nt
Filed under: uncultured bacterium
Lineage: Bacteria
Description: partial 16S ribosomal RNA
Rfam family: Bacterial small subunit ribosomal RNA
Source: RNAcentral